Long non-coding RNA from Peromyscus eremicus (cactus mouse), 571 nucleotides. RefSeq lists it as uncharacterized. Lineage: Eukaryota; Metazoa; Chordata; Mammalia; Rodentia; Cricetidae. The record is from RefSeq and is a predicted model, not a curated record. The transcript has 2 exons.
UACAGAUGGGAACUAAAGCACAGAGGUUACAUGGACUGUCCCCGGGCACACAGCUGAUAAACAGGAGUUUGAAGUUCUCCGUCUCUAAAGCAUGCUAGGACUGGGACAUUAGAAGGGUCUUUCUGGCUGUGCUACAACCUGCUCUGUAGACCAGGCUGGCCUCGAACUCCUAGAGACUCAACUGCCUCUGCCUCCUUAGUGCUGGGAUUAAAGGCGAGCGCCACCACCAGCCAGCUAAUUGUGUUUAUUCUUUGCUGUGCGGGUUGUUCCCGCAGAAUCUUUUGACAUGAGUAAGUACUAUCCCUUUGGUUGGGAGAGCACUAGAAGCCACCACACUUGGAAGAGUGACGCGUGGAUUGAUUGGAGGUCAUUUGUGGAAUUCUAUGGAAUCUGUUGAUGCUGAACUGAGAGUCAUCCUAAUGUAGAAGAGGACCUGUCAUCCCUCAGAUGUCUCACAAAGACAGUCCAAAUUUUGACUCUACUCAUGACGUAGCAGUGACCUCGUGUCUGUUUUCCCAGAAUGUUGGACAGAAUAAGGUUUUAUAAACUAUCCACCUUGGGGGAGUUGUAA